RNAcentral lists this transfer RNA (74 nucleotides) under Lachnospiraceae bacterium C7. It matches the Rfam family "tRNA". From Rfam's summary of the family: Transfer RNA (tRNA) molecules are approximately 80 nucleotides in length. The record is from Rfam by way of RNAcentral. Lineage: Bacteria; Bacillati; Bacillota; Clostridia; Lachnospirales; Lachnospiraceae.
GUGUCAGUAGCUCAGUUGGAUAGAGCAACGGCCUUCUAAGCCGUGGGUCGGGGGUUCGAAUCCCUCCUGGCACA